RNAcentral lists this small RNA (382 nucleotides) under Lacicoccus alkaliphilus DSM 16010. RNAcentral's name for it is "Salinicoccus alkaliphilus DSM 16010 cspA thermoregulator". It matches the Rfam family "cspA thermoregulator". Lineage: Bacteria; Bacillati; Bacillota; Bacilli; Caryophanales; Salinicoccaceae. The record is from Rfam by way of RNAcentral.
CAUGGUGUAAUAUACUAAGAGUAGUUUAAAUUAACAAAUUUUAAAUUUUUCAUUCAUCUGAAAAACUCUUAAAAAAAUUAAUUUACAACGAACAAAUAUUGAGUGCAAAAGCACUGGGAGGUUUUUUCUAUGAAUGAAGGAACAGUAAAAUGGUUUAACGGCGAAAAAGGAUUCGGUUUCAUCACACAGGAGCAGGGUGACGAUGUAUUCGUACAUUUCUCAGCAAUCCAGGCUGACGGUUACAAAACUCUUGAAGAAGGUCAAAAAGUGAACUUUGAUGUAGAAGAAGGUCAGCGUGGUCCACAGGCGACUAACGUUACGGCUGUCUAAUCUAUAAUUAAUAUAAAACUUUGAAGGAACGGCUGCGGCCGUUCCUUUUUUU